GGCGAGAGGUUGUGGCUCAGUGGCAGAAGAUUUGCUUGGCAUUCAGAAGGUUGCGGGUUCAAUCCCUGGCAACGCCA
RNAcentral lists this transfer RNA (77 nucleotides) under Sphaerodactylus townsendi. RNAcentral's name for it is "tRNA-Ala". The record is from RNAcentral. Lineage: Eukaryota; Metazoa; Chordata; Lepidosauria; Squamata; Sphaerodactylidae.